UCCUCCCAGCCUGCCUCAGAUCAUGGCCCUGAAAGAGAAGACAUCCUGUUUUUCCAACUCAAGAGACACCACUGCAGGGGGAGCAGUAGCAGGCUUGGGGACGUUUUCCACUCAAGAAGCUGGCUAUGGGAAGAGCUUACCCUGUAUUUCAUGCAAUACAAAGGAAGAUGGCUGUUUGGGGUUGCCGUGUCUCUUAGCAAUUAAGGAGAUGGCUACAGCCAAGCAGUGUGAAGUGACAGCACCAGAAAGUUUUCUACACCAGAGGCUGAGAACAGGGGCUGUGCAGUCAUAUUCAAUAUUGAGUCCCCAACCCUAACCCGGACCUGGCACAUACAAGACAUUCAGCAGAUGGCUAUUGAAUGAAAAUAUAUAAAUGAAUCAACGAUUACCAGCUGCCUCCACUCCCUUAACCUGCUACAGAAUUAAUAAACUAAUCUUGAGCAUA
This 445-nucleotide long non-coding RNA is filed under the name Homo sapiens (human). Its description in RNAcentral is "non-protein coding LINC00502:2". Lineage: Eukaryota; Metazoa; Chordata; Mammalia; Primates; Hominidae. The record is from RNAcentral.